UGGGUUCUUCUUUUUCCCACCCUUUAUUGC
Molecule: non-coding RNA, 30 nt
Filed under: Mus musculus (house mouse)
Lineage: Eukaryota; Metazoa; Chordata; Mammalia; Rodentia; Muridae
Also listed under: 1 other name
Source: RNAcentral